Molecule: ribosomal RNA, 476 nt
Filed under: Lopaphus sp. 1 SB-2021
Lineage: Eukaryota; Metazoa; Arthropoda; Insecta; Phasmatodea; Lonchodidae
Description: partial large subunit ribosomal RNA
Rfam family: Bacterial large subunit ribosomal RNA
Source: RNAcentral
GGUUUUAAUGGCCGCGGUAUUUUGACCGUGCAAAGGUAGCAUAAUCAUUAGUUCAUUAAUUGUGGACUUGUAUGAAUGGUUGGACGAAAUAUUAACUGUCUCAUUUAUAUAUUUAUAAUUUAAAUUUUGAGUUAAAAUGCUUAAAUAUAUUUAUAGGACGAGAAGACCCUAUAGAUCUUUAUUAUUAAUUUUAUUAAUUUUUUUUGAUUCUUUCUUAUUAUUUUAAUUAAUUUUUUUGUUGGGGUGAUGUGAAGAUAUAAUUAACUCUUUAUUAUUUUAAUCAAUUAUUUUUGUUUAAUUGACCUUUUAUUAUUGUUAAAAGAUAUAGAUACCUUAGGGAUAACAGCGUAAUUCUUUUUGAGAGUUCUUAUCGACAAAGGAUAUUGCGACCUCGAUGUUGGAUUAAGAUUAUUAUUGGGUGUAGGUGCUCAUAUAAAUAAGUCUGUUCGACUUUUAAAUUCUUACAUGAUCUGAGU